UUGUGGAGGAGGACGCCGAAGGUGGGGCUAAUGACUGGGGUGAAGUCGUAACAAGGUAGCCGUACCGGAAGGUGCGGCUGGAUCACCUCCUAACAGGGAGACAACAAAAUGUUUAAUAUUAUUAUUUUGUCACCUUAGGUCGAUCGGUACCUCACGUUCUUAAUUUAUUAAGAAUUUCCUUUCCUAAGUUUUUCUAGGUCACACCCAUUAUUUUUCCUAGGCCAUUAGCUCAGGUGGUUAGAGCGCACCCCUGAUAAGGGUGAGGUCCCUGGUUCAAGUCCAGGAUGGCCCAUAUCUCUAUGUUGGGGGUAUAGCUCAGUUGGUAGAGCGCCUGCUUUGCAAGCAGGAUGUCAGCGGUUCGAGUCCGCUUACCUCCACUGAUUACCACCUCUUCCAUAACCGGUAGAAAGGAAAUGUUUUGAGUUGUGAUCAAAUUCUGAACGAAUCUAGCUUCCUAAUGAAAUCAUUAAGAUGCUGGACUCAUUGAAUUAAAUUCAUUGUUUUCAGAGAACCUUGACAACUGCAUAGAUUAUUUUUAAAGACAAUAAGCAUCUUUAUUGAUGCAGAUUUAUUAUUUGUGCGAACGCACUAAUAACAAUUCUAUUAAGCUGAUGCUUCAAUUAUGAAGUUAUUGGUCAAGCUACAA
This 646-nucleotide unclassified non-coding RNA is filed under the name uncultured Prochlorococcus sp. RNAcentral's name for it is "partial 16S-23S ribosomal RNA intergenic spacer; may also contain 16S ribosomal RNA and 23S ribosomal RNA". The stretch from base 305 to 377 matches the Rfam family "tRNA". The record is from RNAcentral. Lineage: Bacteria; Bacillati; Cyanobacteriota; Cyanophyceae; Synechococcales; Prochlorococcaceae.